ACCUGUGUAGUGGUUAGUACUCCACGUUGUGGCCGUGGCGACGCUGGUUCGAUUCCAGCAGCAGGCA
RNAcentral lists this transfer RNA (67 nucleotides) under Caenorhabditis brenneri. Its description in RNAcentral is "tRNA CBN27953". It matches the Rfam family "tRNA". Rfam says of the family: Transfer RNA (tRNA) molecules are approximately 80 nucleotides in length. Their secondary structure includes four short double-helical elements and three loops (D, anti-codon, and T loops). Lineage: Eukaryota; Metazoa; Nematoda; Chromadorea; Rhabditida; Rhabditidae. The record is from Rfam by way of RNAcentral. RNAcentral also lists the same sequence under 1 other name.